This 402-nucleotide ribosomal RNA is filed under the name Crustacea environmental sample. Its description in RNAcentral is "partial small subunit ribosomal RNA". It matches the Rfam family "Eukaryotic small subunit ribosomal RNA", at positions 30 to 432 of the family's 1831-position model. The record is from RNAcentral. Lineage: Eukaryota; Metazoa; Arthropoda.
GCUUGUCUCAAAGAUUAAGCCAUGCAUGUCUAAGUAUAAACACCUUUAUACUGUGAAACUGCGUACAGCUCAUUAAAUCAGUAAUAAUUUAUUUGAUGGUGACUUACUACAUGGAUAACCGUAGUAACCUAGAGCUAAUACAUGCGAAAAAUCUCGACUCACGGAGAGAUGCUUUUAUUAGAUCAAAACCAAACGGCUUCGGCCGUCUCAUUGGUGACUCUGAAUAACUUUGGGCUGAUCGUAUGGCCUUGUGCCGACGACGUUUCCUUCGAAGGUGUGCCCUAUCAACUGUCGACUGUGAUAUAGACGCUCACAGUGGUUUUGACGGGUAACGGGGAAUCAGGGUUCGAUUCCGGAGAGGGAGCCUUAAAAACGGCUACCACAUCCAAGGAAGGCAGCAGG